Molecule: long non-coding RNA, 207 nt
Organism: Mizuhopecten yessoensis (Yesso scallop)
Lineage: Eukaryota; Metazoa; Mollusca; Bivalvia; Pectinida; Pectinidae
Exons: 4
Source: RefSeq, a predicted model, not a curated record
AAGAUGAGGAGGAGGAUGAAGAUGAUGAGAAGAAGGAAGAGGAGGAGCAGAACAAAGAAAAUACAGUUGUUACACAUAAUACGUCUCUGAAGAAACAGGACAUGGACUGGAAAGUUGGGACACAAACAUCUCUUAAGAAACAGGAUAUGGACUGGAAAGAUGAUCUUGACAGGAGGUCAUUGUUUGUGAAAAAUUUCCCGAAAAAAA